CACGAAUUAGUAUAACGUGCGCACGUUGUAUUCAUUUCGUGGCCACAGUUUAUUUAUUUUUUGAACAUGUCACCAGAGGGGCUCCGUACUGAAGUGAGUGAGCG
Melanotaenia boesemani (Boeseman's rainbowfish) is the source of this 104-nucleotide long non-coding RNA. RefSeq lists it as uncharacterized. The transcript has 3 exons. Lineage: Eukaryota; Metazoa; Chordata; Actinopteri; Atheriniformes; Melanotaeniidae. The record is from RefSeq and is a predicted model, not a curated record.